UAGUCAACAUUUUAUUAUCAUAACAUCAUUUUAUGCUGAAGAAACAUGAAAAAAUAAUCCAAACAAAUUAGUGCUCUUAAAAGGUUCCUGAGUGAUUGAGACCUGAAAGCUGGAAGAAAUGGUCAGUAACUGAAAUGGAUUUUUCUUUAUUUUAAGGAAGACAUAUAAAGUCCUCAUUAUAAGAUGAAGGAACUCAGUUUCAGAGCAGUGACGUUUUGUCCAAGGUCACAUAACUGGUGAGAAGGGAUUCCAGGAAAACAAGCCAAGGUGGACUCUAGGUUUGCCCUAGAAUAGAAGA
Molecule: long non-coding RNA, 298 nt
Filed under: Monodelphis domestica (gray short-tailed opossum)
Lineage: Eukaryota; Metazoa; Chordata; Mammalia; Didelphimorphia; Didelphidae
Description: lncRNA (ENSMODG00000047825.1)
Source: RNAcentral